Molecule: ribosomal RNA, 499 nt
Filed under: uncultured bacterium
Lineage: Bacteria
Description: partial 16S ribosomal RNA
Rfam family: Bacterial small subunit ribosomal RNA
Source: RNAcentral
GACGAACGCUGGCGGCGUGCCUAAUACAUGCAAGUCGAGCGAAGUUUUUCUGGUGCUUGCACUAGAAAAACUUAGCGGCGAACGGGUGAGUAACACGUAAAGAACCUGCCUCAUAGACUGGGACAACUAUUGGAAACGAUAGCUAAUACCGGAUAACAGUAUUUCUCGCAUGAGAGAUAUUUAAAAGUUGGUUAUGCUAACACUAUGAGAUGGCUUUGCGGUGCAUUAGCUAGUUGGUGGGGUAAAGGCCCACCAAGGCGACGAUGCAUAGCCGACCUGAGAGGGUGAUCGGCCACACUGGGACUGAGACACGGCCCAGACUCCUACGGGAGGCAGCAGUAGGGAAUCUUCCGCAAUGGGCGAAAGUCUGACGGAGCAACGCCGCGUGAGUGAAGAAGGAUUUCGGUUCGUAAAGCUCUGUUGUUAGGGAAGAAUGGAUAUGUAGUAACUAUACAUGUAAGAGACGGUACCUAACCAGAAAGCCACGGCUAACUACGUG